Molecule: non-coding RNA, 208 nt
Filed under: Chroomonas cf. mesostigmatica
Lineage: Eukaryota; Cryptophyceae; Pyrenomonadales; Chroomonadaceae
Source: RNAcentral
AACCGAGUCCAACCCUGGUGUUGGUGUUGGUGUUGGUAUUAGGAGUAAUGAUGCUGUACAAGCGGGUCUUCGAUGGAAAAAACCCGACACUUGGGCGGAUCAAUUUAAACACUGGAUCGUCCAGCGAAAAAAAAAAAAAAAAAAUCGAGGAACAAACGAACGAACAAGAAACAAAGGAAAUGAGUCCUCCAACAAUGUCAAUGUCGUC